CCUGCCCCAAGGGGCAUUGCAGGUGUGCUAUGUCAUAUUUGCAUCAGUAGGUGGCAGAGAAGAGAGAGGCCAUGUCUAUGUUCAGUGUUCUGACCUGGGCACAUCUGAAUGUUAGUAGCCUAAUAUU
Molecule: small nucleolar RNA, 127 nt
Organism: Mastomys coucha (southern multimammate mouse)
Lineage: Eukaryota; Metazoa; Chordata; Mammalia; Rodentia; Muridae
Product: small nucleolar RNA SNORA17
Exons: 1
Source: RefSeq, a predicted model, not a curated record